UUAUACAACUUUCAACAACGGAUCUCUUGGCUCUCGCAUCGAUGAAGAACGCAGCGAAAUGCGAUAAGUAAUGUGAAUUGCAGAAUUCAGUGAAUCAUCGAAUCUUUGAACGCACCUUGCGCUCCUUGGUAUUCCGAGGAGCAUGCCUGUU
This 151-nucleotide ribosomal RNA is filed under the name Tricholoma matsutake. RNAcentral describes it as "5.8S ribosomal RNA". It matches the Rfam family "5.8S ribosomal RNA". Rfam says of the family: 5.8S ribosomal RNA (5.8S rRNA) is a component of the large subunit of the eukaryotic ribosome. It is transcribed by RNA polymerase I as part of the 45S precursor that also contains 18S and 28S rRNA. Lineage: Eukaryota; Fungi; Basidiomycota; Agaricomycetes; Agaricales; Tricholomataceae. The record is from RNAcentral. RNAcentral also lists the same sequence under 1 other name.